UUCACUCUCUCACUUGCUUCUACAGAAAUUAGUAGAAUGCCAGGAGAUGGGCGAAGAGGUUUUGAAAUCAGUAGAGACUCAAGUUCCUGCUGCUGUUUAAAUUAAAAUCAGACCAGCACUAAGAUGAAGGUCUCCAAUCUCAAUGGAUUUUUUUAUUUUUGUGCUUUCCAAUGUGAACUCUAGGGCCAGAAGCCCACAAUAAACAAUUAUAUUUUUUUCUCACUGCAUGAUUUUUCCAUCCUUGUAGCUAUUAGGCAAAUUAUUUACUGCAGGAUGUUAUAGGAUCACGGCUUUGUAAUCUUUUGGGUGGUAGAUUUUUGGUUGAUAAGAUAUUGAGUUGGUGUUGUAUCUUUUCCGUCUUUCUGAAACCGCCUUCAUCUGGAGCUGUUGUAACAUGGAAUAUCAUUGUGACAACUUUUGGAAAAUAAAAGCAAGUCUUUCAAUUUGCGGUUUGUUUAUAGUUUGCUGUGGUGUCUCAAUGUUGAUGCAAAUUAGAAAAUCAAAUUAAAAUUGAAAUCUGUUUUUGUUAUUAGUUAGCACUAGCAUUUUC
RNAcentral lists this long non-coding RNA (550 nucleotides) under Citrus maxima (pomelo). Its description in RNAcentral is "long non-coding RNA (CMAX_LNC003900)". The record is from RNAcentral. Lineage: Eukaryota; Viridiplantae; Streptophyta; Magnoliopsida; Sapindales; Rutaceae.